AUAGGAUAUUGUGGUACGGUGAAGGACUGCAUCAGUUAUCUUAUGUAAGAGGAGAGUCAAAGUUCUCGGAUCAUAGACCUGUCUACGGCAUUUUCUGCGCUGAGGUUGAGUCAGCUCAUAAUAAGCUAAAGCGAACCAUGAGUUGUUCAGCUUCACGUGUUCAAGCUGAAGAGCUCUUACCUUAUUCCCGUGGCUACACCGAGCUCAGCUUCUUUUAAAAGUAACACACGUGUUUCACGGUGAACUAAAGUGUUUUUUGGAUCUUUGAGAGUGAUGGAGACGUUACAUUGCUUCUUUAGCUCCAAGGGAACAGGUGUAGAAAGUGUUUUAUUUUUGGCCUCGGUUAACUAAUUUUCACAUACCGGUGGGUUCUGUGGUGUAUCCAGUUCAUGGUUUUUGCUAACUUCUGGUGGAUAGAAAUUUUACAGCUACGUUAUAAGGCAAUCAACUAACCAAUCAGAGAUCGCCAAGUAGACACAUUAGGAAAGUUCUUUUGAUUUUGUUUAGUUUUCAUUCUUUUGAUUUAAGCACAAUUAGGGAAAAUAUGGUUUUCUGUUCUUUUUUUUUUGUGAUCAACUGCGGUGUGUCCCCACGGUAAUUAUUUUGUAAUGUUUAUUAUGUGAUGUUAAUGUCAAGUGUAACGAAAAUUAUACCCAAAAAAAAACAAAGAAUUUCUGUUUU
Brassica oleracea var. oleracea is the source of this 681-nucleotide long non-coding RNA. RefSeq lists it as uncharacterized. NCBI's taxonomy places the organism in Eukaryota, Viridiplantae, Streptophyta, Magnoliopsida, Brassicales, Brassicaceae. The record is from RefSeq and is a predicted model, not a curated record. The transcript has 4 exons.